CCAAUGUUCUCAGGAAGUUAAUGUAUCUGGAGUAAACAUUUUUCCCCUUCCAACUCUUUCGUCGAAUUUUGCUUUACAAAUUAUACUCCGGAUAUUUGUAUGAUCUGGAACAAAAAGAACUUAAAGAACUUUGUUUCAAUAAAAGGAAUUAGCGGAUUACACAUGGAAAGUGCGUUUGGCCUGGAUUAGAAUUCUCUACACUGCAAGGUUAGUUACAUUUUAUCAUUACAAGAGGGAUGUCGUGACACUAAUAAAAAUGUGUUUAUAUAGAAUCAAUAUAGACCAUAAAAUAUUUAUUAAAUACUUUUUUUUGCAUCAAAAUAUUAGCUGUGUGGCAUAUCGUAUAAAUGAGAAAUUAUAAGCUGUAGAUAAUGUCUCUACUUGUAGGUUUUAUACCGUUGACAGACUGCUAUAAUAAUGGAUAACACUCCAAUUCUGUGCAGUUAUAUUAUAGAUAUCUUUACACAAAUAUUAAUUGAUGACACAGUUAGAACUCAUUAAUAAUAACUCUUAGAAGUUACAUAGAUUUUGUCAUAAGAGCUUAACUAGUUAAGAAUUACAGAAAUAUUUUAUUAUGUGUUCUUUUAAUUAGUGAUUACUCGAGGCUAGAAUUUUCUGUUUGAUUUACUUCUAAAUUGACCUAUGUUUCGCUUCUUACGCCUACUGGGUUGUAAUGAGGGUUCGAGAAGGAUAUAGGCUGUUUAAAUAGAAGCAUUUUCAGGUCGAGGUAAUAGAAAAUUUCUAGUAUCCUUGCGUUUUACUAGAGUCUGAAGGUGAUUUUAGAUUCCUUAUACAUUGCAAAAUAGUCAAUACAUCUCUAGGUAAAAUCAGUGAUUAUUUAGCAUAGGAAUCUGUUUAUCUAGUUUUUUUUUUUAGUUUUCAUAUUUUCUAUUUAGACGGAUUUACUCAUCGAAAUCUUUCACUUUUAAUUUAACGUAAUCAACUAGAAUUGAGGAGAUUAGUAUUUGCGUCUAAUCUACCUAUUGGACUUAUAAUACAAAUGAAUUUCUUUCAUAUAAUAGAAAUAAUUUCUAAAAGACAUUUCUAUUUGAAUUCAACUAGGAUAAAAAGAGAAGAGUUGUUUGACAGAUAAUAAAUUGGUGGGAGAAUCUCAUUUAACCUAAUCUGCAAAUUUAGCCAAAGAAGUUUCUAUGACCCAAUUUGCAUAAUGAAGAAACUGGUCACACGAUGUUUUUUUUGAUGUUAGCAAUGUUGCCGUCUCUUGCGCAAUUUUUCCUUUUGGAUGCUAAAUGAAAAUUACAGUGUUAUAUAGUUGUAAGGGAGUUUACAGCCGAACCAUGUUAGUGGUUUGAUACAAAUUGUAUAUUAAAUAUGCAAGGGAGAAUAAUUACAACUAACACACGCUGGUUACGCACAGUUGCAGAGAGAAACGUGAUUCGCUCGCACCAGACGUUUCAAAAUAUACAGCAAGAUAAUGUUGCAAAUGAAAUAGUGGACGUUUUCACUAGGAAUAAGAUUUUUAACAAGAAUUCAUAAACAUAUUAUCGUAUCUAAUUCUAGUAAACUACCUGAAUUAGCUAUACGUUGAAGUAAAUUAUGAAAACCUUUACAUGAACCUAUAUCCGAUCUUUUAAUGAAUCUGUUAAAAACGUUCCUUUAUCCUUUAGCAUUGUAUACCAUAUGUGAAAUCUCAUUUAAGUUGUUUUUAAAGGUUUUGUUAUUUUGCAAUAAGUAUAUUUUCGCUUUAAUAAUAAGGACUAAAAAACGUACUAGAAGGUAAGAGAUCAUUAAUAUAAUUAUUAUAUACUCUUUUAUAUGUUUCAAUUUAGUUCUAAAAUAUGGAUAAGCAAUUAGAACAUAUUUUGCUGAGACGGCUAAAUUGAAUACUGAACACUGAACGCUAUGGGCGUUAGUCAAUCGUCUGUUAGCGGUAGAGUUCAAAACUUUUUUAUUGGGACUGAACUGGAUAACCGUCGUCAUCCACAUUAUACGAAGAAAGCAGGGAAACUGCAAACUCUUAGGAAGAAGGUGCUUCGAGUGAAACGCUCCUCCCGGUCAUUCGACUAUGGAAAGGCUGUGAAAGAAUUGACUAAUGGAUGGUGUACGAAAAAUAUUCAAGAAUUGCUAAACGUUUUUAAUAGCUUGAAGGAGUUAAAAGAAGUCACUCUUCUUGCUCAGAGUGCGAGACCGUUAUCAUCGUCUCUAAGGGAUAAUCUGGAAAAUUUAUACAAUAGGAAGUACUGCGCAGAUGUUCAGCUUAUGUAUGACGGUGAAAUUUUUUCCGCACAUCGGUCAAUACUAUCCUCGAGAUGCCAGUACUUCCGCAAUUUAUUUUCUAAAUAUAAGAGAUUUGAUAGGCCAAUACCAAUCGAUAUAAGGACGCUGGGCGUCGACGCUGCUCUAUUUGGCGAUUUAUUGCGAUUUCUUUACACGCAAUAUUUGGAUAUUGGUAACGAUUCAUCUAGACCGGUUAUAGAAAAGCUUAAGCAUGAGUUUGGUAUGCCGAAUCGCCUCGAAGACGACUUAAGAGCACUCUUAACUAGGGAUAUUAGGGAUUACGAUUGUGUUUUGGUAUUUUCAACGUCCAAUUACCUAAAUUCAUUGGGUGAUGCAAGAAGUGACAUUGAAGAGUACAGAUGCCAUAAAGCUUUAUUGGCCUCCCGAUCGCCUUUCUUUAGAAAUGUACUGGAAAAGCGCAGACGAAAUUAUCCGGAAAUAAUUCAGCUGGACGAGGCUGUUAUACCUCGGAUAUACGCUCGAACUAUUCUUCAUGCAAUUUAUACGGACAUUCUUGAUACCACACUCAUUCCGAACAUCCCUCAGUCUUCUUUAGCCGACGCUAAUGCUUUAGCAAAUUCCGAAAGAUCGAAUCUUCCAACCCAUGUUCGACAUACGAUUGACCUGUACCAGAUAGCCAGAUUUAUAGAAUUUGGUAAGAUGGCAGAAAAUUGCGAGAAUCUCAUCUGGCAAGCGGUGAACGUGGAGACUUGCUGUGAAAUAAUUAAUUGGGCUCGUAUGAAGCACGGAUCGAAAUGGGUUUUAAGGCAGUGCGAAGUGUUUGUGCAAGAAGAAUUUUCCCAGUUAGUUCAGUCUGGUGUUUGGCUGGAUUUGGACGAAGAGACGGUUAAGAGUGUUUUAACGUCAGACUUUUUGCAAGCGUCCGAGGGCGAAAUCCUAUCUGCCGUAAUUAAAUGGGGCGAACAGCAAUUGAUUAAAAGAAUAGAGGAACGAGAACCGAAUCUCCUUAACCAUACAACUCAUAGUGUUUCGAAGAAAGGUGUAAAACGACGAGAUUUAGAUGACACCGAGUUAAAAUCUAUAAUUUCUGAACUGUUAUCGUUAGUUCGCUAUAAUUUUAUUACUUCAAGUGAUAUGGAAACUCUUCUGGCGGCCGACAAGAGGGGAUUGGUAAUGCCAUCUAGUUGCCGAGGUGUUGAUUUAUUAAACUAUAGUACGGGUAAAGGAUGGAUUGAUCUUAUUCAGCAUCCAGAGUAUAGACGCUAUCCUAGAUGUUUCCAGCCUUAUAUUGACGAAUUGCAGGCGGUUCUUGAGGAAAAAAUGACCGAAGACGACUGGAGCGUUAGUAGUAUUUCUGUUACUUCCAAUUCAACAUUUAGUAAACCAGAUAUUGUGUCUGACACUAUGCCCCUACCGGGCGAGAGUACUUUGAACAGAAUGGAAAAAAGAUUAAAACAGAUUGAAGCCAAUCAUAGACUAUAUUAUGCUCAUUCAAACUUCAUAAAUGCGGAAUGUCUUAGACAAUUUGAAUUAAGAGUUGUUAGAGAAUUUGGUUUACCAGAUUCAUCAGUGGACCUCUUGAAGAGCCGAAAUGUUUCAACGCCUCCACUUGCUCAGGGCAAGUUUGUUGUUGCAAGAUCCAAUCCAAUCCAAGCAACCAAAACUCCCGAAGCGCCUUGCAACAGUGAAGAGUUGCCUGACGUCGCUCGUCUAAAUGUAAAUCGAACCAACGAACUCGACUUCGUAGGAACGCCAUCGUAUUACUUUUGAUUUCCGUUCUUCAAUUAAAAAAUUAUGACUUUUAAUUAAUGGUUAUUUUAUAUAUAAAUAUAUCGAAUUCUAUUUAAAUUUAAUUCAAUUAUAUUUUUCUCUCGUUCAUCUAAACUUUUCAAAAUCGAUUUCUAACAGAUCGCAAUAAAAAGAAACGAAUUGAAUAGCAAUUUUAAAAGUUUGUAUUGACCAUGUGACUGACGUAUUUAAGAAACUUCUUUGUUUUAUAAACUUGCAAAGCAAGUAAAGUAUUACAAGUCUAAGAACAUCAUUCUAGGAUCCUCUACAGCACUCUUUAUCUUUUUCAAGAAUGUAACGCCCUCUCUUCCAUCGAUGAGUCUGUGAUCGUAUGUUAAGGCAAUGUACAUCAUUGGCCUUAUCUCAACUUUUCCAUCAACGGCUACAGGCCUCUGGAAGACUCCAUGCAUUCCUAGAAUGGCAGAUUGAGGAGGAUUAAUUAUUGGUGUACCAAACAUUGAACCAAAGACCCCGCCAUUGGAAACUGUAAAUGUUCCACCUUCCAUAUCUUCUAUAGCUAAAGCGCCUGUCUUUGCUUUCUCCCCCAGAUCAACAAGUGACUUUUCUAUAUCAGCAAACGACAUAGAUUCAACAUUUCUAACAACAGGCACAACAAGGCCCUUAGGUGUUGCUACUGCCACGGAAAUAUCUACAUAGUCUCUGUAAAGAAUAUGAUUAUCAUCAAUAACAGCAUUCACUACAGGUUGAUCGGUCAAGGCGUAAGCAGAAGCUUUUAAGAAUGCUGACAUAAAUCCUAGUUUGAAACCGUGCUUCUUCUGAAAAGCUUCUUGAUAUUGCUUACGAAGUGAUAUUAUGUUUGACAUAUCAAUUUCAUUGAAAGUUGUCAGCAUGGCACAAGUAUUCUGAGCUUCCUUUAGUCUUUGGGCAAUUUUCAGCCGCAUACGAUUCAUUUUUACCUUCUUUUCCGAUCUCUUUUCGUUUGAGAGUGAGAAUGCAUUAAACUGAGCUUCUUGAGCUUUGACACUCUCUGCAGGCUUUGAAGAUAUCGGUUGACUAGGAACUUGCGGAACC
This 5019-nucleotide unclassified non-coding RNA is filed under the name Dimorphilus gyrociliatus. Its description in RNAcentral is "dgyrCDS598". The record is from RNAcentral. Lineage: Eukaryota; Metazoa; Annelida; Polychaeta; Dinophilidae.